This 253-nucleotide ribosomal RNA is filed under the name uncultured bacterium. RNAcentral describes it as "partial 16S ribosomal RNA". It matches the Rfam family "Bacterial small subunit ribosomal RNA", at positions 524 to 776 of the family's 1533-position model. The record is from RNAcentral.
UACGUAGGGGGCUAGCGUUGUCCGGAUUUAUUGGGCGUAAAGAGCGUGUAGGCGGCCAGGUAGGUCCGGUGUGAAAACUCGAGGCUUAACCUCGAGAUGUCAUCGGAAACCAUCUGGCUAGAGUCCGGAAGAGGAGAGUGGAAUUCCUGGUGUAGCGGUGAAAUGCGCAGAUAUCAGGAGGAACACCAAUGGCGAAGGCAGCUCGCUGGGACGGUACUGACACUGAGACGCGAAAGCGUGGGGAGCAAACAGG